Molecule: ribosomal RNA, 349 nt
Filed under: uncultured bacterium
Lineage: Bacteria
Description: bacterial SSU rRNA
Rfam family: Bacterial small subunit ribosomal RNA
Source: RNAcentral
GGGUAUGUUAAUAGCAUAUUCAUUUGACGUUAGCUGCAGAAGAAGUCACCGGCUAACUCCGUGCCAGCAGCCGCGGUAAUACGGAGGGUGCGAGCGUUAAUCGGAAUUACUGGGCGUAAAGCGCAUGCAGGUGGUUUGUUAAGUCAGAUGUGAAAGCCCGGGGCUCAACCUCGGAAUUGUCAUUUGAAACUGGCAAACUAGAGUACUGUAGAGGGGGUAGAAUUUCAGGUGUAGCGGUGAAAUGCGUAGAGAUCUGAAGGAAUACCGGUGGCGAAGGCGGCCCCCUGGACAGAUACUGACACUCAGAUGCGAAAGCGUGGGGAGCAAACAGGAUUAGAUACCCUGGUAG